This 253-nucleotide ribosomal RNA is filed under the name uncultured bacterium. RNAcentral describes it as "partial 16S ribosomal RNA". It matches the Rfam family "Bacterial small subunit ribosomal RNA", at positions 524 to 776 of the family's 1533-position model. The record is from RNAcentral.
UACGUAGGGUGCAAGCGUUGUUCGGAAUUACUGGGCGUAAAGCGCACGUAGGCGGCUUUGUAAGUUAGAGGUGAAAGCCCGGGGCUCAACUCCGGAAUUGCCUUUAAGACUGCAUCGCUCGAAUUGUGGAGAGGUAAGUGGAAUUCCGAGUGUAGAGGUGAAAUUCGUAGAUAUUCGGAAGAACACCAGUGGCGAAGGCGACUUACUGGACACAUAUUGACGCUGAGGUGCGAAAGCGUGGGGAGCAAACAGG